Molecule: transfer RNA, 73 nt
Filed under: Staphylinidae sp. BMNH 1274665
Lineage: Eukaryota; Metazoa; Arthropoda; Insecta; Coleoptera; Staphylinidae
Description: tRNA-His
Source: RNAcentral
AUUUAAAUAGUUUAUAAAAAUAAAAAAUAUUGAUUUGUGGGAUCAAAGAUGUAUAAAUAAAAUACUUUAAAUA